RNAcentral lists this ribosomal RNA (1596 nucleotides) under Salmonella enterica. Its description in RNAcentral is "partial 23S ribosomal RNA". It matches the Rfam family "Bacterial large subunit ribosomal RNA", at positions 1223 to 2803 of the family's 2925-position model. The record is from RNAcentral. Lineage: Bacteria; Pseudomonadati; Pseudomonadota; Gammaproteobacteria; Enterobacterales; Enterobacteriaceae.
GUUGGGUAGGGGAGCGUUCUGUAAGCCUGUGAAGGUGUGUCGUGAGGCAUGCUGGAGGUAUCAGAAGUGCGAAUGCUGACAUAAGUAACGAUAAAGCGGGUGAAAAGCCCGCUCGCCGGAAGACCAAGGGUUCCUGUCCAACGUUAAUCGGGGCAGGGUGAGUCGACCCCUAAGGCGAGGCCGAAAGGCGUAGUCGAUGGGAAACAGGUUAAUAUUCCCGUACUUGGUGUUACUGCGAAGGGGGGACGGAGAAGGCUAUGUUGGCCGGGCGACGGUUGUCCCGGUUUAAGCGUGUAGGCUGGUUUUCCAGGCAAAUCCGGAAAAUCAAGGCUGAGGCGUGACGACGAGGCACUACGGUGCUGAAGCAACAAAUGCCCUGCUUCCAGGAAAAGCCUCUAAGCAUCAGGUAACAUCAAAUCGUACCCCAAACCGACACAGGUGGUCAGGUAGAGAAUACCAAGGCGCUUGAGAGAACUCGGGUGAAGGAACUAGGCAAAAUGGUGCCGUAACUUCGGGAGAAGGCACGCUGACACGUAGGUGAAGUGAUUUACUCACGGAGCUGAAGUCAGUCGAAGAUACCAGCUGGCUGCAACUGUUUAUUAAAAACACAGCACUGUGCAAACACGAAAGUGGACGUAUACGGUGUGACGCCUGCCCGGUGCCGGAAGGUUAAUUGAUGGGGUCAGCGCAAGCGAAGCUCCUGAUCGAAGCCCCGGUAAACGGCGGCCGUAACUAUAACGGUCCUAAGGUAGCGAAAUUCCUUGUCGGGUAAGUUCCGACCUGCACGAAUGGCGUAAUGAUGGCCAGGCUGUCUCCACCCGAGACUCAGUGAAAUUGAACUCGCUGUGAAGAUGCAGUGUACCCGCGGCAAGACGGAAAGACCCCGUGAACCUUUACUAUAGCUUGACACUGAACAUUGAGCCUUGAUGUGUAGGAUAGGUGGGAGGCUUUGAAGUGUGGACGCCAGUCUGCAUGGAGCCGACCUUGAAAUACCACCCUUUAAUGUUUGAUGUUCUAACGUGGACCCGUAAUCCGGGUUGCGGACAGUGUCUGGUGGGUAGUUUGACUGGGGCGGUCUCCUCCUAAAGAGUAACGGAGGAGCACGAAGGUUGGCUAAUCCUGGUCGGACAUCAGGAGGUUAGUGCAAUGGCAUAAGCCAGCUUGACUGCGAGCGUGACGGCGCGAGCAGGUGCGAAAGCAGGUCAUAGUGAUCCGGUGGUUCUGAAUGGAAGGGCCAUCGCUCAACGGAUAAAAGGUACUCCGGGGAUAACAGGCUGAUACCGCCCAAGAGUUCAUAUCGACGGCGGUGUUUGGCACCUCGAUGUCGGCUCAUCACAUCCUGGGGCUGAAGUAGGUCCCAAGGGUAUGGCUGUUCGCCAUUUAAAGUGGUACGCGAGCUGGGUUUAGAACGUCGUGAGACAGUUCGGUCCCUAUCUGCCGUGGGCGCUGGAGAACUGAGGGGGGCUGCUCCUAGUACGAGAGGACCGGAGUGGACGCAUCACUGGUGUUCGGGUUGUCAUGCCAAUGGCACUGCCCGGUAGCUAAAUGCGGAAGAGAUAAGUGCUGAAAGCAUCUAAGCACGAAACUUGCCCCGAG